RNAcentral lists this ribosomal RNA (274 nucleotides) under uncultured bacterium. RNAcentral's name for it is "partial 16S ribosomal RNA". It matches the Rfam family "Bacterial small subunit ribosomal RNA", at positions 523 to 796 of the family's 1533-position model. The record is from RNAcentral.
AUACGGAGGGUGCGAGCGUUACUCGGAGUCACUGGGCGUAAAGCGUCCGUAGGCGGUCGGGUAAGUCGGGUGUGAAAGCCCCGGGCUCAACCUGGGAAGUGCACCCGAUACUGCUCGACUCGAGUGCGGGAGAGGAUGGCGGAAUUCCCGGUGUAGCGGUGAAAUGCGUAGAGAUCGGGAGGAACACCGGUGGCGAAGGCGGCCAUCUGGCCCGCAACUGACGCUGAGGGACGAAAGCGUGGGGAGCAAACAGGAUUAGAUACCCUAGUAGUCC